ACCAGGAGCUGGGAGGCCUAGACUCUGCUGACCAUGGCAAGGAGCAAACACUCAGAACCUCAAGAUCCUCACCUCCAAAAUCAGGGUUUAUGCUAGCACAGCAAUUCUCAAAGUAUGGCCCCCAGACAGCGGCGUCAGGACCACCUGGAACUUGUUACAGGAACAGAUGCUCAGGCCCCACCCAGACCUACUCAUCAGAACCUAAGGGAGGCAGGGGAGAGGAGCCCAGAAGUCAGUUUUUAACAUGGUCUUCGGGCAGGACUGGUGCAGGCUAAGGGUUGAGAACCACUGAACUGGAAGAUCUCUAAAAUUCCUGCCAGGGAGGAUAAACCUACCAGACGUGUGGUCAUUAUGGUCGACACCACAGUUGGAGCCAACUUGGCUCCUAGGGGAAAGAGACCAGGCCUAAGUUCAAGCCUGUGAUGGUCUGAAAAAGCACAGCCUCUCCCCUCACAACGUCCUCUAACAGAAAAGCCUCCUGCAGGACAUGACAGCUGGGCAGAAGGAGGCUGGGAAUGGGGCAGGAGAAAACCACAGCGGGACAGAGUGUGAGAAUGGAUCAUCACACAGUGCAGGCCUAUGGAGACAAAUCCAAGCUGAGGCUCAAGGAAAAGAAACACAAAUUGGAAAUCAGGCCUGAGACCUGAUCAUGCAUGAGGUCUGCUUAUAAAAAUGAUCAUUUGUGCUGAGUACAGAAAGGUCACUGACGCGACCACAGCCGGUUCCGCACCCAUCAACUUGGCUGAGAGUGGACUCAGACCCAACCGGCCAGUUUCCUUGUGGGCAGGGCUAAUUGGGCGGGAUCUGGAGCCUCACCAAGGGGGGUUUUGUGGGCUGAACUUUCACCGUAAGUGACGCAAGGUUUGGUUUCACUUACUAUUUGUGGACGAGUCCUUCCUUCGCUGCUUUUUCAUUCAGGGAAAGGUUUUGCAUAAUGUUACAUCCGGGUUUCUUUCUCAGGACGUCCUUGUCACGUGACCAGA
Molecule: long non-coding RNA, 983 nt
Organism: Bos taurus (domestic cattle)
Lineage: Eukaryota; Metazoa; Chordata; Mammalia; Artiodactyla; Bovidae
Source: Ensembl